UCAUAGGUGGUGCUGUAAGGUUAUGGCAGAUUGAAUUAGCUAUCCACACAGUAUUCACUUUUCAAAUUCUCUAAAGUAAACAACAAGCGACUCUCGGCUAGAUGCCACGCGUCACAAGACUGUAAUUUGCCGUUUCUCGGCCACUUCCCGGCUUUCCCAUAGCCGAAGCCCACGGGUUAAAUGAACACCAACAAAUCAAUGAUAAUAAUAUGCCAUACAAAAAAAAUGGAUUAUUUUCCACAACCACUAUAACUGAUGGUGUAAGAGUUGGCUUGUCCAGCUGCAUUGGGAUGACGCUGGCAUGCUGUUGUGCAAUAUUUUGUAAGGGUUAGCUCACCACACCAAGCACUUAUUAACUCCUAUAAAGUGAGCUUUAUAUUACUCACAUCAUUAUAAAAUUUUACUUUCUAUUUCGGCUAAGGAAGGAUAGAACCUCAGAUAAGAAAAUGGCAGAGUCCUUGAGUGUCAGCACCAAUGAUCCUUCAUGCAUUUAUUUUAAUAUUUCAUAAAUUAUCUUGUUGUUAACAUCGGCAUUUUUCAGGCACCAAUUACACAUUAUACUAGGUAGGAUUCUGAAGUACUUGUAAACAUAUAUAUUAACCCAUUAUGACUGAAACUUACCAGGUGUGUGGUGUAUCUUUCAGGCCACACUAAAUGGUGAAAAUUCCAAGGGUAUAUCUAAUAAUCCUCUACCCAGAGGUUUGGAAGUAACUUUUCUUCACCUACAACAGCCUAUAGUCUUCCAAAUAUGUUGAGGUCGGUCUGGUGUAGGCUCCCGCUGGUCCUUUCUUCCCCUCUGCUCUGUCAACACCUAUCUCUUCCUCUCAUAUGUAAGCUAUAGGUAACAUAUGAGGGGAAAAAAUAGGUGUUGGGACUGUGUGGCAGACCAGAGGGGAGAAAUGGACCCGUGGGAGCCAAUGCCAAAACGGACUCGACAACUUUGUUUCACAUUAGACACCCCUGUCUGCACUCCUCAACCAAGCCUGAUGGAUCAAGCAAAAAAUUAAAUUUGGAGCUGUUUGGCAGUCCCAAGAAGUCUUUGUAACUCCUGCCAGGGGAAAGAUAUUAUUCAUAAGAAAAAAUAUUGGAAUUCCAUGUGUUCCUCAGGAAGCUGAGGUUAAGCAAAGAUGUUAAGUACAUACUCAAUAGCCACAGAGGUGUCCAGAUAUUUUACAUAUGCUCCAUUUCCUCCCUUAAAGAUGUAUCAAACAACAACUGUAAUUAUGGUGACAUGCGGCAUCAAGGGCAGGACCACGUACCAUUCUCCUGGAUAUCCUGUGCUGCCGCUGGUUCACUAUGUCUGCUGCGAUGGCGUUCAGGAGGCUUUGGUAGUUGGUGGUGCGGGAGGCCAGGCCUUGGUUCUCCAGGCGCCGCAGAUUGUGGCUCAGGCGUGUCUUCACCUCAUGCAGACUCACCCUGGCAAAGGCAGAAAGGAAGGAUGGAGAGCGGUUGAGUGCUGCGUGGUUGAGCUUGGCCUGGUGUUCCUGCUGCGCUCGUAUCAGCAUGAUGGCGCGAUACUUUUCCUCAUCAGGGCCUCGCGUUGGGCUGACUACCAGCUCCCCGAUGGCAUUCCCAUC
Long non-coding RNA from Eriocheir sinensis (Chinese mitten crab), 1577 nucleotides. RefSeq lists it as uncharacterized. The record is from RefSeq and is a predicted model, not a curated record. Lineage: Eukaryota; Metazoa; Arthropoda; Malacostraca; Decapoda; Varunidae. The transcript is spliced from 4 exons.